AUUGAACGCUGGCGGCAGGCCUAACACAUGCAAGUCGAACGGUAACAGGAAGAAGCUUGCUUCUUUGCUGACGAGUGGCGGACGGGUGAGUAAUGUCUGGGAAACUGCCUGAUGGAGGGGGAUAACUACUGGAAACGGUAGCUAAUACCGCAUAACGUCGCAAGACCAAAAAGGGGGACCUUCGGGCCUCUUGCCAUCGGAUGUGCCCAGAUGGGAUUAGCUAGUAGGUGGGGUAACGGCUCACCUAGGCGACGAUCCCUAGCUGGUCUGAGAGGAUGACCAGCCACACUGGAACUGAGACACGGUCCAGGCUCCUACGGGAGGCAGCAGUGGGGAAUAUUGCACAAUGGGCGCAAGCCUGAUGCAGCCAUGCCGCGUGUAUGAAGAAGGCCUUCGGGUUGUAAAGUACUUUCAGCGGGGAGGAAGGGAGUAAAGUUAAUACCUUUGCUCAUUGACGUUACCCGCAGAAGAAGCACCGGCUAACUCCGUG
Molecule: ribosomal RNA, 490 nt
Filed under: uncultured bacterium
Lineage: Bacteria
Description: partial 16S ribosomal RNA
Rfam family: Bacterial small subunit ribosomal RNA
Source: RNAcentral